UCCCUGGUGGUCCAGUGGUUAGGACUCUGCAUUUCCACUGCAGAGGACAAGGGUUCAAUCCCUGGUCAGAAAA
Bos taurus (domestic cattle) is the source of this 73-nucleotide non-coding RNA. NCBI's taxonomy places the organism in Eukaryota, Metazoa, Chordata, Mammalia, Artiodactyla, Bovidae. The record is from Rfam.